Astatotilapia calliptera (eastern happy) is the source of this 2768-nucleotide long non-coding RNA. The record is from Ensembl. NCBI's taxonomy places the organism in Eukaryota, Metazoa, Chordata, Actinopteri, Cichliformes, Cichlidae.
GUCGCGCAGACCUUUUCAGCAGGUCAGUCCUAAAAAUUCCCAAUUUAAAAUCCUUUCGGCGGAUUGGUCCAUAAGCUUUUAUUUUGAAAAUCCGUGCAGUGGAUUAGACUAAUUACAUCCUUUCGGAUAAGACCUAGGUUCGUUUUACGCGAGUGUAAGUGAGUGGUUUCUUUACCUUCCCAAGAUUCUCUGGCUAUGUUGAAAGUCAGCCACUGGAUCCCAGCGUCGUGGACCACUUAAUGACACUGGCCAGAACCCGAAUUUCACGUCUCUGGACUUUCACUCCGAAGAGGCUGUCGACAGACUUCAGUGCAAGAUCUCCACGAUGCCAGAAUACAGCGGCCGAUGCUUCCUAUCCGGCUCUGAGGACCAAGAAAAUGUGAAGAGAAAGUUGCUAGAAGGCAAAGAAACUCAAACUCAAGAUAUCUUUUUCAUGCAUACAUGGACAAUCCCCCCUCAUCGCCCGAUCCAUCCUGCAGCAAUGUGUGCAGGACAGAUGUGACAGAGAGGAAAGACCGCCCAGGGCUUUCAGAGCUUUCUUUCUUUAUACUUAAGCAAGUUUUCAAGGAAGUAGGAGUGGCAUGUUCAGAAUAUAAAACAUUUCCAUAAAAGGAGAGACUGUUCGCUUGUCAGCUGAAACAGGAGAUAACUUGUUCAGGUUUCAGCAGGCUGAAGCGAGUCCGGAUCUGAUGUUUCAGGAACAACUCUGCUGGUGUACGACCCGUCACAGUGUGCGGUGUACUGCGAUACAUGAUAAGGAAGUUUGCCAAACGAUGACUGAGUGGCAAUGUGGCCUUACCAUCUGCUUCCAGCACAUUUUUCAUCAGGGAUCGUUUCAGGAUUUGUACUGACCUCUCUGCUGCCCCCGUUUGAUGCAGGAUGAUAGGCAGGAACAGCUGUGUGUCCGAUCCCAUUUAACUCCACGGUGUGCUCCAGACCUUGCUGAGGAUUGGAUCCUUCAUGGUUGCUCUCUCAAUGUCUUUAGCUACUAUUGGUAGCUCUUCCACAUGUGAGAAAUAGAAGAUACUUCCCUCCUCGGCAAUGUUUUCUGGCGUAUUCCGAGGUAGACGUGACAAUGCAUCUGCAUUAGCAUGUUCAGCUGAUCUUCUAUAUUCAAUGUCAUAGUUGUAUGCCAUUAGGAUAAGAGCCCAGCGUUGCAUUCUUAGUGCAGCGAGUGUUGGGACAGCUGACUUUGGCCCUAGUAUAGCCAGCAGUGGCUUAUGAUCUGUGGAGGGUGAAUUUCCUUCCAUACAGAUAUUUAUGGAAUUUCUUUACUCCAAAACUUAUGGCAAGGGUUAGGGUUUUCUAUCUGGGCAUACUUUUGCUCAGCUUCAGUUAAUGUUCUUGAUGCAAAAGCCACAGGCCUUUCCUCUCCAUUUUCCAUGACAUGAGAGAUGACUGCGCCCAAUCCAUAAGGUGAUGCAUUGCAGGCUAACUUCAAUGGCAGAUUUGUGCUGUAGUGCACCAACACUUUGUUCUGCAGCAGUAGACUUUUUGCAUCCCUGAAUGCUUUUGCACAUUCCAUGGUCCAAAUCCAUUUACGGUAGCAUCUUUUCUCAACAGGUUAUGCAAAGGCUGAAGAAUGGUGGAUGGAUUUUCCAAAAAUCGACUGUAGUAAUUUAGAAGACCAAGAAAGGACUUCAGUUCAGUGACGUUUGUUGGUUCUGGUGCAUUUGCUAUGGCUGCUACCUUUUCCUCUAAAGGAUGCAGACCAUCCCUGUCAAUACGAUGUCCCAGGUACUCCACACUGCUCUGAAGAAAGUGGCACUUGGAAAGCUUCACUCUGACACCAUGCUUCUCCAGACGUGUGAGUACUUCCUCCAACCUCUUCAAAUGACCCCUUUCAGAUGAAGCAGUGAUGAGGAUGUCAUCCAAAAAGCAGGUGACAUGCUCCAUCCCCUGAAGGAUUUGAUCCAUCACAGACUGGAAAAGAGCCGGAGCACUGGAAACACCAUAGCUGAGGCGAUUGUACUUAUAGAGACCUUUGUGUGUGUUUAAGCAUAUUUGCACUGCAGAAGACAUAAUGUGGAUUGCACAACACUGGACAUUAUAUUCUUCAUUUCCAGUUAAUACUUGUACAACUGCUGUUAUUGUGUAUAUAUUUAUUUAUAUUUCUUCAUACAUUCUUAUAUAGUUCUAUAUUGUGUAUUUUGUUGUACAGUUAUUUUAUUUUCAACUUUAAUUUAUAUAUUUUAUCUUAUUCUUUCCCAGUUAAAUUUACCCUUCAUUCUAAUUUGUGUUGUACAGUUAUUUCCUUUUUAACCUUAAUUUAUAUUUUAUUCCUUCCUAGUAAAAUUUACCCUUUUUAAUUUUUCAUAUUUAUUUCCUAUCUUAUUCAUAGCCUUUUCCUUUUUUUGUUUUCUUUAGGUCACGAGCAGUUGUCCAAGCAUUUCACUACAUAUCAUACUGUGUAUGACUGUGUACGUGACAAAUAAAAUUUGAAUUUGAAAUUUGAUGCCCAGAUACUUCUCUGAUUCUUCAUCUAACUGUAGCUGCUGAUAGGCAUGAGAAAGGUCAAGUUUACUGAAGGAUGUUCCUCCAGCUAAAGUAGCAAACAAAUCUUCAGUAUUUGGAAGUGGAUAUCUUUCCUCUUCAACACACUGGUUGACACUGACUUUGUAGUCACCACAUAUCCUAAUUGUUUUGUCUGCUUUUGGCACAGUAACAAUAGGGGAUGCCCACUCACUUUUCUCAACCUUUGAAAUAACCUUCACCUUUUCCAAUCUGUCCAGCUCCUUUUCCACAGCUUCUUUUAGUGCAUAAGGAAC